CAGCGAUCAAGUUUUCGACAGCUGUUUCUUAUGUUCUAAAUAUUCUAAGUCUUAUCCAAUGAUGUUGUAUAUGUGUUAUCUUUCUUUUCUUGCAUUUCCCAGUUUCUAGCGUGUAUCAAAAUGCACUAUGAUAACAACACCAAUGCUAUUGGUUGUAGGUUACCCUUGCACUAUGAUAACACCACAAAUGGUUGUAAAUUUCCUUUGUUUGAACUUUGCCUCCUCUUGUGGGCUGAUGGUUCUGGUGUCGUUUUGUUGACAACUAGCUUAUGUUAUAUGUCACUUUUGUUUUAAUACUACAUCCAUAUGACAGAAAAAAAACCACCGCCU
Molecule: long non-coding RNA, 330 nt
Filed under: Brassica napus (rape)
Lineage: Eukaryota; Viridiplantae; Streptophyta; Magnoliopsida; Brassicales; Brassicaceae
Description: long non-coding RNA (BNAP_LNC006867)
Source: RNAcentral